AACGAACGCUGGCGGCAUGCCUAACACAUGCAAGUCGAACGAGACCUUCGGGUCUAGUGGCGCACGGGUGCGUAACGCGUGGGAACCUGCCUUUAGGUUCGGAAUAACGCCUCGAAAGGGGUGCUAAUACCGGAUAACGUCUUCGGACCAAAGAUUUAUCGCCUUUAGAUGGGCCCGCGUUGGAUUAGCUAGUUGGUGGG
RNAcentral lists this ribosomal RNA (200 nucleotides) under uncultured bacterium. Its description in RNAcentral is "partial 16S ribosomal RNA". It matches the Rfam family "Bacterial small subunit ribosomal RNA", at positions 29 to 256 of the family's 1533-position model. The record is from RNAcentral.